RNAcentral lists this transfer RNA (65 nucleotides) under Apocephalus antennatus. RNAcentral's name for it is "tRNA-Leu". The record is from RNAcentral. Lineage: Eukaryota; Metazoa; Arthropoda; Insecta; Diptera; Phoridae.
ACUAUUUUGGCAGAUUAGUGCAAUAAAUUUAGGAUUUAUUAAUAUAGAUUAUUCUAUAAAUAGUA